CCUACGGGAGGCAGCAGUGAGGAAUAUUGGUCAAUGGGCGCGAGCCUGAACCAGCCAAGUCGCGUGAGGGAAGACGGUCCUAUGGAUUGUAAACCUCUUUUGUCGGGGAGCAAAAGACGCCACGCGUGGCGUUCCGAGAGUACCCGAAGAAAAAGCAUCGGCUAACUCCGUGCCAGCAGCCGCGGUAAUACGGAGGAUGCGAGCGUUAUCCGGGUUUAUUGGGGUUAAAGGGUGCGGAGGCGGAAGGUCAAGUCAGCGGUAAAAUUGAGAGGCUCAACCUCGUCGAGCCGUUGAAACUGGUCUUCUUGAGUGAGUGAGAAGUAUGCGGAAUGCGUGGUGUAGCGGUGAAAUGCAUAGAUAUCACGCAGAACUCCGAUUGCGAAGGCAGCAUACCGGCGCUCAACUGACGCUCAUGCACGAAAGUGUGGGUAUCGAACAGGAUUAGAUACCCUUGUAGUC
Molecule: ribosomal RNA, 459 nt
Filed under: uncultured bacterium
Lineage: Bacteria
Description: partial 16S ribosomal RNA
Rfam family: Bacterial small subunit ribosomal RNA
Source: RNAcentral